AAAGUGGUCCGGGUGACCGCUUGCCCCGCCACUGGCGGGGUGAGAGGAAAGUCCGAGCACCGAAGGGCAGGAUGGUCGGUAACGCCGACCGGGGGCGACCCCAGGGAAAGUGCCACAGAGAGCAGACCGCCCGUCUUCGUCACGCCGCUGGCGUGACUUCGACGCGGUAAGGGUGAAAGGGUGAGGUAAGAGCUCACCAGUGCCGGUGGUGACACCGGCAGCUAGGUAAACCCCAUCCGGUGCAAGGCCAAAUAGGGGAGCGUAAGAGGGCGGCCCGUUCAAAGCUCCCGGGUAGGCCGCUAGAGGCCGUCGGCAACGGCGGUCCCAGAUGAAUGGUCACCCAUCGACAGGCUCAGGGCAAGCCUCUGACCUGUUGAAGACAGAACUCGGCUUACAGGACCACUUUGCAC
Molecule: RNase P RNA, 410 nt
Filed under: bacterium
Lineage: Bacteria
Description: RNase P RNA component class A
Rfam family: Bacterial RNase P class A
About the family: Ribonuclease P (RNase P) is a ubiquitous endoribonuclease, found in archaea, bacteria and eukarya as well as chloroplasts and mitochondria. Its best characterised activity is the generation of mature 5'-ends of tRNAs by cleaving the 5'-leader elements of precursor-tRNAs. Cellular RNase Ps are ribonucleoproteins.
Source: RNAcentral